This 23-nucleotide small nuclear RNA is filed under the name Arabidopsis thaliana (thale cress). Its description in RNAcentral is "snRNA_09775". The record is from RNAcentral. Lineage: Eukaryota; Viridiplantae; Streptophyta; Magnoliopsida; Brassicales; Brassicaceae.
UAGAUAUGAAUGUCCUUGUUACU